RNAcentral lists this unclassified non-coding RNA (383 nucleotides) under plant metagenome. Its description in RNAcentral is "partial contains 5.8S ribosomal RNA, internal transcribed spacer 2, and large subunit ribosomal RNA". The stretch from base 1 to 106 matches the Rfam family "5.8S ribosomal RNA", at positions 49 to 154 of the family's 154-position model. The record is from RNAcentral.
CGAAAUGCGAUAAGUAAUGUGAAUUGCAGAAUCCAGUGAAUCAUCGAAUCUUUGAACGCACCUUGCGCCCCUUGGUAUUCCGAGGGGCAUGCCUGUUUGAGUGUCAUUAACAUAUCAACCCUUAUUGGAUUUUUCAUUGUUCAGCAAGGCGUUGGAUUUGGAGCGUGUUGGCCACCUUUGUUAAAAGUGGGUCGACUCCUCUUAAAAGCAUUAGUGGUCGCGGCAACGUGGAUCGACCUUUCUGUUGGUGUGAUAAGUAUCUACGCCUUCGACAAAGGUCGUCAACCAUCGUUGUUUUAAGCCUGCUUAUAACAGUCCUCGGACAACGUCAUUUUGACUUCUCUUGACCUCAAAUCAGGUAGGACUACCCGCUGAACUUAAGC